Molecule: non-coding RNA, 28 nt
Filed under: Mus musculus (house mouse)
Lineage: Eukaryota; Metazoa; Chordata; Mammalia; Rodentia; Muridae
Source: RNAcentral
UUGGAUCUCAUGAAGGCAUUUCCUCAAU